GAAUGAUGAAGGUCUUAGGAUUGUAAAAUUCUUUCACCGGGGACGAUAAUGACGGUACCCGGAGAAGAAGCCCCGGCUAACUUCGUGCCAGCAGCCGCGGUAAUACGAAGGGGGCUAGCGUUGCUCGGAAUUACUGGGCGUAAAGGGAGCGUAGGCGGACAUUUAAGUCAGGGGUGAAAUCCCGGGGCUCAACCUCGGAAUUGCCUUUGAUACUGGGUGUCUUGAGUAUGAGAGAGGUAUGUGGAACUCCGAGUGUAGAGGUGAAAUUCGUAGAUAUUCGGAAGAACACCAGUGGCGAAGGCGACAUACUGGCUCAUUACUGACGCUGAGGCUCGAAAGCGUGGGGAGCAAACAGGAUUAGAUAC
This 365-nucleotide ribosomal RNA is filed under the name Brevundimonas sp. RNAcentral's name for it is "bacterial SSU rRNA". It matches the Rfam family "Bacterial small subunit ribosomal RNA", at positions 403 to 785 of the family's 1533-position model. The record is from RNAcentral. Lineage: Bacteria; Pseudomonadati; Pseudomonadota; Alphaproteobacteria; Caulobacterales; Caulobacteraceae.